AAGGGAGACCUAAUUCGGGUAUAAGACGAAAAAAUAGUAGUCGAAACCAAGAAUCAAUCCCAAAAGGUCGGAACGAGGUAUGUGGCUUUCAAACUAGGUUCUGGGUUCACAUAAGACCUGAAUCAGGAACAAGGGCUAUUAGCUCAGGUGGUUAGAGCGCACCCCUGAUAAGGGUGAGGUCCCUGGUUCGAGUCCAGGAUGGCCCACCUGUACAGGUGGCAAAAAGAAAGAAAAGAAGCGAGGAAUCAGCACCUUAUCUUACUGACAUAGUAAGAGAGAAUGCUGGCUCUGAGUAAAGAGUCCAGAGGAACCUUGAAAACUGCAUAGAGCUAGGUGAAAAAGCCAAAAAAGAAGACCGCAA
RNAcentral lists this transfer RNA (361 nucleotides) under uncultured Microcystis sp. Its description in RNAcentral is "partial 16S-23S ribosomal RNA intergenic spacer". The stretch from base 133 to 206 matches the Rfam family "tRNA". Lineage: Bacteria; Bacillati; Cyanobacteriota; Cyanophyceae; Chroococcales; Microcystaceae. The record is from RNAcentral.